CCUACGGGUGGCUGCAGUAGGGAAUCUUCCGCAAUGGGCGAAAGCCUGACGGAGCAACGCCGCGUGAGUGAAGAAGGAUUUCGGUUCGUAAAGCUCUGUUGUUAGGGAAGAAUGAUUGUAUAGUAACUAUAUACAGUAGAGACGGUACCUAACCAGAAAGCCACGGCUAACUACGUGCCAGCAGCCGCGGUAAUACGUAGGUGGCAAGCGUUGUCCGGAAUUAUUGGGCGUAAAGCGCGCGCAGGUGGUUUAAUAAGUCUGAUGUGAAAGCCCACGGCUCAACCGGGGAGGGUCAUUGGAAACUGUUAAACUUGAGUGCAGGAGAGAAAAGUGGAAUUCCUAGUGUAGCGGUGAAAGGCGUAGAGAUUAGGAGGAACACCAGUGGCGAAGGCGGCUUUUUGGCCUGUAACUGACACUGAGGCGUGAAAGCGUGGGGAGCAAACAGGAUUAGAUACCCCUGUAGUC
This 465-nucleotide ribosomal RNA is filed under the name uncultured Caryophanales bacterium. RNAcentral's name for it is "bacterial SSU rRNA". It matches the Rfam family "Bacterial small subunit ribosomal RNA", at positions 338 to 795 of the family's 1533-position model. Lineage: Bacteria; Bacillati; Bacillota; Bacilli; Caryophanales. The record is from RNAcentral.